AUUGAACGCUGGCGGCAGGCCUAACACAUGCAAGUCGAACGAGUGGCGGACGGGUGAGUAAUGUCUGGGAAACUGCCUGAUGGAGGGGGCUAACUACUGGAAACGGUAGAUAAUACCGCAUACCAUCGGAUGUGCCCAGAUGGGAAUAGCUAGUAGGUGGGGUAACGGCUCACCAAGGCGACGAUCCCUAGCUGGUCUGAGAGGCUGAUCAGCCACACUGGGACUGAGACACGGUCCAGACUCCGACGGGAGGCAGCAGUGGGGAAUCUUGGACAAUGGGCGAAAGCCUGAUGCAGCCAUGCCGCGUGUAUGAAGAAGGCAUUCGGGUUGUAAAGUACUUUCAUCGGGGAGGCGUUACCCGCAGAAGAAGCCCCGGCUAACUCCGUGCCAGCAGCCGCGGUAAUUC
This 406-nucleotide ribosomal RNA is filed under the name uncultured bacterium. RNAcentral describes it as "partial 16S ribosomal RNA". It matches the Rfam family "Bacterial small subunit ribosomal RNA", at positions 30 to 526 of the family's 1533-position model. The record is from RNAcentral.